CCUUGAGCAUUUUAAGGUGAAAGUGGAUACAAAUGUACACCGUUAACAAAAUAACUAACAGUGAAGGUCUUACAGUAGGCUGCAAUCUUACAGUAUUUAUCUGAAAUGAAGCCUCAUCCAACUCAGUGGCAUUUACUUUGAAAUAGCUACAUCUUUAGUACGGCAUGAUGGUUAUUUACUUUCAUCAGUUAUUCCUGCAUCGUUAGAGAAAUGCAGGGAUAAAAAUUUAAAUUCUGGAAAAGGAGGUGUGGGUUGGAAGGAGGGACGGGAGCAGAGCAGGGGCCUCCACAGAAAUCCAAGUUUCGGGAGGGGAUGAUAUCUCUGGUUUGUUGAUAUGACUGUAGUUUUUACCUGUGUAUAUAUUUAAAGACAUGCCAAGUUUAUAAUAGUAAUAAUCUUAGAACUGGAAAGGAACUCUGUGGCUCACCCAGCCCAACCCCUGUCAAGGAGGUACAGUGGGGAAUUGAACCCCCAAAGGCUGGGUCCCAAAUCACGGAGCUGUAGGAUUGAGAAGGACAAGGGACCACUGCGCCCCCCCCCCCGAAGCAUUUGGUUACACAGAGGAGGAUCUGUGUUAGCUGAUCCCCCGUUCGAGAACAACAUUGGCCACGAGUACCAGUGGUUAUUCUAAGAUUCACGUUACUUCUACGUCAGGAAUCCAUUGCGUACCUGUUCAGAUCUGGAGACGUAUAGAUAAAAAUAAAUUCGGAGAGGAAGGAGAUUUAAAAAGGGCUUCCCAGAGUCUGCCAGAAGAACGGGCGCGAGAGCCGUUUCUUAAGGGAACCCCGGAGCAAAUCAGAACGUUGCAAGUAGCAACGUUCCAACGUAACGAUGCCCAUCAAAGGCCGAGAGUUUCUGUUCUAGCGAUCGUUCGAAUACGGCGAUGCUCGUUGCUCGCCAACGUUUUCACAACCCAAGCCUCCGCUCGACUCCUCGAUACUUCUUCAAAACUCAAGUUCAUAAUGAAAAAGGAGACAAGACCCCCUCUGGCCAAUCCAUCACUUUGGCCAAGCUUCCUAUCAAGUGUCGCUAAGCUUCCUAUCAAGUAUCCCAUCCUCUCAUCUAAUGCAAAGGAAUUAAAAAGAGUGACAGCACCUGGAACAGGUUCUCUGCUUCCAUCUACAGGAAAAGAAGAAUACUGUUCGGUUUACGGUUCCCCCUGCAAUCUACAACAUGAUUUGCCUUUUUAAAAAAGUAAGCUAUAUACCAGUUUUGUACCACUUGGACAUAUUUUGAUUUUUCCAA
RNAcentral lists this long non-coding RNA (1245 nucleotides) under Pogona vitticeps (central bearded dragon). RNAcentral's name for it is "lncRNA (ENSPVIG00000024374.1)". The record is from RNAcentral. Lineage: Eukaryota; Metazoa; Chordata; Lepidosauria; Squamata; Agamidae.